RNAcentral lists this transfer RNA (75 nucleotides) under Caudoviricetes sp. Its description in RNAcentral is "tRNA-Arg". It matches the Rfam family "tRNA". From Rfam's summary of the family: Transfer RNA (tRNA) molecules are approximately 80 nucleotides in length. Lineage: Duplodnaviria; Heunggongvirae; Uroviricota; Caudoviricetes. The record is from RNAcentral.
GCGCUUGUAACUCAAUUGGAUCAGAGUUCAGAUCUUCUAAAUCUGAUGUUGUGGGUUCGAGUCCCGCCAGGCGCG